RNAcentral lists this long non-coding RNA (213 nucleotides) under Lathyrus oleraceus (garden pea). Its description in RNAcentral is "Pisum sativum (pea) long non-coding RNA (PSAT_LNC016630)". The record is from RNAcentral. Lineage: Eukaryota; Viridiplantae; Streptophyta; Magnoliopsida; Fabales; Fabaceae.
AAAAUUAGUGUUUAUGGAAAGGAUGUGAAAAAUGGAGUUUUAGUGGGUUUUUGGUGGAGAGAUGGUUGAGUGAAGUUUGGAGUGAAGUUUGGAAAUGGUAAUGGCUUGGAGUUAAAAUGAGAAAGUUGGGAUUUUUCGUGAACUUUGGUGGAGUUGAGAGGAGGAGAAAAUGGGAUUGGAGAGGUUGAAGAAGGUGAAAAUGGACAUAAAAAC